This 376-nucleotide ribosomal RNA is filed under the name uncultured bacterium. RNAcentral describes it as "bacterial SSU rRNA". It matches the Rfam family "Bacterial small subunit ribosomal RNA", at positions 523 to 898 of the family's 1533-position model. The record is from RNAcentral.
AUACGUAGGUGGCGAGCGUUGUCCGGAAUUACUGGGUGUAAAGGGCGCGUAGGCGGGUAUGCAAGUCAGAUGUGAAACCCCGAGGCUCAACCUUGGGCUUGCAUCUGAAACUGUAUAUCUUGAGUGUUGGAGAGGGAAGUGGAAUUCCUAGUGUAGCGGUGAAAUGCGUAGAGAUUAGGAGGAACACCAGUGGCGAAGGCGACUUCCUGGCCAAUAACUGACGCUGAGGCGCGAAAGCGUGGGGAGCAAACAGGAUUAGAUACCCUGGUAGUCCACGCCGUAAACGAUGGAUACUAGGUGUAGGUGAUGAAAAAUCAUCUGUGCCGAAGUUAACACAUUAAGUAUCCCACCUGGGGAGUACGGCCGCAAGGUUGAA